Molecule: long non-coding RNA, 2422 nt
Filed under: Cottoperca gobio
Lineage: Eukaryota; Metazoa; Chordata; Actinopteri; Perciformes; Bovichtidae
Description: lncRNA (ENSCGOG00000012670.1)
Source: RNAcentral
AUUUUUAAUGUGCACAAUUCAUAGCGUAAUUUAAAUUAAUAUGCGCAGUGAUACAGACUGACCUUGAAUAUUCCGACUAGACAUGAACGCACCAGGAAGCAGUGGCCGUUCGGUAGCAGUCCCGCUAACUUUACCGUUAGCUAUGCCUGGAAAAUGUAAAUUUCAGGACUCCUGGCUCUCCAAGGAAAUUUAUAAAGACUGGCUGGUCAAAGAAGUCCAAGACAUUCACUUCGCCCGGUGUAGGGCCUGUUGUAAAUCAAUCAAGCUUCAGACCAUGGGCGAGGCUGCUCUCACCAGCCACGCAGGGGGAGCUGGCCACAAAGCAGCGGUCCGCAAGAUAGUGGAAGCAGGCAACGUGAUGCUGAUCAAUGCCGCUGGGCAGAUAAAUGGCAGCGUGAAUCAGACUGAGGACAGCAAGGAGCAAGUGGCCAUCUGCCUCCAGCAUGACGCCUUGGACAGAAUAACAGGUAGCGGCUGGUCGGAUCUACGCCACAGCCCCACUACAAACUCCACCUCCCACAGUGCAGAGCUGCAGGAUGCCACAUUUCCUGCUGCUUAUUUCACAGCACCAGGCACCUCCCGAAUCAUCAGCCAGCGUCUCCACCCGACAGGCAGCGAGGCGGAGGAAGCGACCCGCCGCUCAACUCAGCACGACUCUGCAGACAUGUCGAGACAGGAGCACCAGCAGAGAGCAGAAGCUCUGGAGCAGCAGCAGCAGAUGAAGAUCCUGGAGUGGGAGAACAGGAUGAAGGUGCUGGCGUGGGAGCAGGAGCUGGUGAGGGAGAAGAGGAGAGCAGCGCGGCAGAAGGAGAAGGCCUUCAGGAUGAAGAAGGCUUACUACAAAGCCAAGCUAAAGAAGAUGGGCGAGGAAGUGCCGCCAUCCUCCUCCAGCAGCAGCGAUGAAGAGGAGAAAACGUCUGAUCCGUCAGGAUGAACUGUUUUGAAUUGUUGUAUUUUUUAUUAGUUUCUUGUAUUCUUUUGUCUAUAUGCCAUGAAACUGUUGCUAUUUUUAUACAUUGUUUUGUAUUUUAAUGAGGAUUCUCGGUUGCUUUAAAUCAGCUGUUCUUUUUCUGUAAUUGUAAUUCAGUUGUUCUCUGUUGUUGAGACUUCUUUGGUUUUUGAGGCAGACUGUAGUUUUGAAAAGCAUAUGACAACGUCCUACUCGAGUAGGAGUACUGUUACUUAAAAGCACAUGUGAGAUUACUUGAGUUGCAGACUACUCAACAGUACAACGGUAGCUCUUUUGAAGAUUAGUACCAGUUACAUUAUUCCAUAUGGCCAAUAUGACGACCACCUCUUCUGUCUCGGUAAGAUUUCUAUAUUCAAAAUAAACUGAACUAGUUGAGAGUGUAAGGUGUGCUGCUAAUAGAUCUAUAGAAGUACAUGGACAUGCUAUGAAACAUUAAUACUUUGCACAUCCUGUAGACAAACCUCUGAAUUGUGUAAAAGGGUUAAAAAUCGAAAUGAUCCUGUUUUGUUUUAUUAUAAUUCAUCACAAUGUGUCUUCACUAUUUAAAUGUAUGAGACGUUCAUUGAUGUUUAAGGUUGAUGUGUCUGUAAAGGUCAUAGCCUAUUCUAGUGGGAACGUCGCUUUAAAGAAUGUAUUGAGAUUACAUCUAAUCACUGCAGAUGUAGAAAUAAAAUGACAUUUCUAAAUGAAAAAUCUUUUAUUAUGAUUUAUCUUCCUAUGUAUGCUUAAAAUGUAGUCUUUGCGUUGUAAAUAAAUGUGCAUUCGGUGACAAAUCAAAGAAAAAAACUGAAUAAAUUAGGCAAAACAUUCACUACUUGGCCAGAAGUAGUGUGUGGUUUACACUGCUAUACCAGCCUCAGCUGAUUUUGGGAUCUGCUCCCCAUUCAGCCACAAGAGCAUUAACUGCUAUGUAAAUCUUUGUUUGUUUUUAGCCUCUCAAAUAUGGAGAUUUUCUGCCGUUCUGUUUUACGUCAUAUUAAACUGAAUAUCUUUGGGUUUUUGGCUUCCGAGUUUCUGGUGCUGGUAGCCAUAUUUUGAAUUUUGGACGUGAAUAAUUAAAAUAUCCCUUUAAGUUUUCACCCGUCUGUAAGUGCUAAAGCAAAUAUUUAGUUUGUAUUUAACAGAUAUAAACAUGUCUCAUGGAGCUGCGACUGAGUCAUGCUAUUCAGAAUGGAACAGGAGCAUUGAUCUGUUUUUGUUUUCGCACUUUACAUGUAAGGUAAUCUGAGGGAGUGUUAUAUUGUGUCUCAGCUGGGUGCUUCUGGUUUUGCCAGAAUCAAGGUGGCAGCUGAACAUCUCUGCCGCCUCUGAAUGUGACAGGAUACUUUGAGUCUAAACAAGUCAGAGAGCCUUCCUGAAAAACGUGUCCGUCUGUCAGGAUGUUUUCUCUGCUCAGUUAUUUGCACCUGAAAAUGUAUUUUCUCAUGAAUACCAAGCAGCGCACGCACACAC